CCUACGGGGCGCAGCAGUAGGGAAUCUUUCACAAUGGGCGAAAGCCUGAUGGAGCAACGCCGCGUGCAGGAUGAAGGCCUUCGGGUUGUAAACUGCUUUUAUAAGCGAGCAAUAUGAUGGUAACUUAUGAAUAAGGAUCGGCUAACUACGUGCCAGCAGCCGCGGUCAUACGUAGGAGCCGAGCAUUAUCCGGAGUGACUGGGUGUAAAGAGUGGCGUAGGUGGCAUAAUAAGUAGCUAGUGAAAUCUGGUGGCUCAACCAUUCAGACUAUUAGCUAAACUGUUAAGCUCGAGACAGUUAGGGGUAACUGGAAUUUCUAGUGUAGGAGUGAAAUCCGUAGAUAUUAGAAUGAACACCAGUAGCGUAGGCAGGUUGCUGGGACGGUUCUGACACUAAGGCACGAAAGUGUAGGGAGCAAACGGGAUUAGAUACCCGGGUAGUC
This 442-nucleotide ribosomal RNA is filed under the name uncultured bacterium. RNAcentral's name for it is "partial 16S ribosomal RNA". It matches the Rfam family "Bacterial small subunit ribosomal RNA", at positions 338 to 795 of the family's 1533-position model. The record is from RNAcentral.